Molecule: ribosomal RNA, 231 nt
Filed under: Triticum aestivum (bread wheat)
Lineage: Eukaryota; Viridiplantae; Streptophyta; Magnoliopsida; Poales; Poaceae
Description: partial small subunit ribosomal RNA
Source: RNAcentral
AGGCUUAAGAUCUUUCGAGGAUAAUUGCGUCAUUGAAUCUGAAGGUAUAUGAUUGGUUUCUCAACUCAUGUAUCGAUAAGCAUUUUUUCAUCCUCAAUAUAUUGUUACUUACCUGACUUGUCGUACAUUUGUGAGGUUUCUGAGGAAGUUCACUUCUUGCACGCGGCGUAUAACUUGAGUUGCCUACAAAUGAUUUUGCCAGUUCGACGAAAACUUAGAAUAACCAAGGGA